GAUGAACGCUGGCGGCGUGCCUAAUACAUGCAAGUCGAGCGAACAGACGAGUAUCUUGCUCCUCUGACGUUAAUGGCGUACGUGUGAGUAACACGUGGAUAACCUACCUAUAAGACUGGGAUAACUUCGUGAAACCGGAGCUAAUACCGGAUACUAUCUUGAACCGCAUGGUUCAAUAGUGACAGACGGUUUUGCUGUCCCUUAUAGAUGUAUCCGCGCCGCAUUAGCUAGUUGGUAAGGUAACAGCUUACCAAGGCAACGAUGGGUAGCCGACCUGAGAGGGUGAAGGGGAACAGGGGAACUGAGACACGGUACAGAGGCCGAGGGGAGGCAGAAGUAGGGAAGGGUCGGAAAAGGGCGAAAGACUGAAGGAGCAACGGAGGGCGAGUGAUGAAGGGCUGCGGACCGGAAAACUCUGUUAGUAGGGAAGAACAAAUGCGGAAGGAACGAUGCAUGUGGUGACGGUACCUAAUCAGAAAGCAACGGCUAACUACGUG
RNAcentral lists this ribosomal RNA (497 nucleotides) under uncultured bacterium. Its description in RNAcentral is "partial 16S ribosomal RNA". It matches the Rfam family "Bacterial small subunit ribosomal RNA", at positions 28 to 507 of the family's 1533-position model. The record is from RNAcentral.